Silurus meridionalis is the source of this 1063-nucleotide long non-coding RNA. RefSeq lists it as uncharacterized. The transcript is spliced from 3 exons. Lineage: Eukaryota; Metazoa; Chordata; Actinopteri; Siluriformes; Siluridae. The record is from RefSeq and is a predicted model, not a curated record.
CAGACUAAUAACACCCUUUCACGGCAGCCAAAUGAGUUUGCGGGAUUUCCCUUCGCAUUUCCGCGUUAUUUCAUGCUCCCCAAACCAGCCAAUCAAAUCACCCCGUUGGUGCUUAGGAUUGAAUUGACACUUCUGUGGACCAAUCAGAUUUCGCCUGUACACCGGCAGCGGAUACAUCACGUGGCGGUGAGCAGCAUCACAAAAGAGCUUAAAUCAGCAACAGUUGCUGCUGACCAAGUCACAUGGCAGGGUUUUUAUUUUAUCAUUUAUGAACUAAAAACCUAAUUUAUUUCAGCUAUCAAUUAUACUUAUAAUUAAUACAGGACGCUACACAAAGAACAGGGUGUAUAAUUAUACAAUACUGAUAAUUAUCAGUAAUAUUAAUAAUUAUCACACAGAUAAUAUGUGAUGGAAGAAGGGGAGGGCAUUUGAAAGCCUUAAGCAAAGUUUCCUUCCCUCCACCUUUUAGAAAAAAAUUAAAAUCACUUUAUAACCUUUUUAUUUAAACAAGCCUGAUUGCAGUACUUUUAUAAGUAUUUAAAUAUGCAUAUUAAAUCAACUUUAACUGAGGUGAACACUAAAGAAACAAACAAAAAAUCCAAAGUCAUCAGGAUCAGCUCAUCUUAUUGUUAUUCCUUGGCCAUGGCCACCCAGCUGCCUGCGAUUGCUGUUUUUAUUUACGUUUAGUUUAGUUAAAGUUUAUUCUGUUUUGAAUAAACCAGUAGCAAAAAAGAACGUGGACGCACAUUUAAACAGUGAUAUUACCUGGUUUCACUUCAGACCAGCAGUUUGAUGAAAUGAGCUACUGCUUCCUGCUUCCUGUUUUUUAAAUUACUUUUCAAAUGGAUGACGUUAUUGAAAUAAGAAGUAACCUGUUUGAAGUGCUUCCUGUUUAGAAUUUGGCAGACACCCUUAUCCAGAGCGAGAAGUGGCCACUUGGUGUGAACUCAUGACCAUUGGAGACCUUUGGAGCGGAAGUCGAAUGCCUUAACUACUAAGCUACCACCAUUGUUCUAUAAGUUCCACUAGAACUUUGAAAAUAAAACUGCAUGAGUUAAGCUGA